GAGUUAGGAAAUGUAGGUGCGAUAAUACCGUGCCUAUUUGACAAAGGCUCCAAAGGAAGCCACGGCUAACUCUGUGCCAGCAGCCGCGGUAAUACAGAGGUGGCAAGCGUUGUUCGGAAUUAUUGGGCGUAAAGAGCACGUAGGUGGAUUUGUUAGUCAGAUGUGAAAGCCUUUCGUUCAACGGAAGAAUUGCAUCUGAAACUACAAACCUUGAGUAUAGGAGGGGAGAGUGGAACUUCUGGU
RNAcentral lists this ribosomal RNA (243 nucleotides) under uncultured anaerobic ammonium-oxidizing bacterium. RNAcentral's name for it is "partial 16S ribosomal RNA". It matches the Rfam family "Bacterial small subunit ribosomal RNA", at positions 440 to 674 of the family's 1533-position model. The record is from RNAcentral.